Molecule: unclassified non-coding RNA, 18 nt
Filed under: Chlamydomonas reinhardtii
Lineage: Eukaryota; Viridiplantae; Chlorophyta; Chlorophyceae; Chlamydomonadales; Chlamydomonadaceae
Description: small RNA Cre_1239
Source: RNAcentral
CGCAGGUUCGAAUCCUGU